CUUGCACGCUUGAAGAAUUGUAGGACUGGCAGAAAUAUAGGGGAUCCACCACUGGCUGAAAUAUAGUACAGUAGGAUGCCUCCAUAUGUACUUUCUGAAGCUCUCUUGCUUUCGUCUUUUACAGUUAGGUUCAAGGUAUUCCAUUUGAUAUAGAUAUAUAGCGAGGGUCAAGGCAGUACAUAUGUAUAAAGGUUACUUGAACUUUCCCCGUAAUCCUGUAGGUGCAAAUUCAUAUGGACUUGAUCAGCUCACUUUCCUCUUUCCACUUUCACUUAUGAAACUUGAAUUUAUCAAGAAGAAGGGGGAAAAUGGUUGGAUGUUGGUUUUAACUAAAGUCGGGUUUUAAAUGGAAUUAACUGCUAGAAGUUUAAAGAAGUUACCUGAGACAUGGCCCUGUCUGUGCAUAUGUGUUUGACUUCUUUUGGCUGGACAUAAUAUGUGUAUUGCUUUCCAUCUUCCUUACCAGUUUGCGUGAAGUUCUGUUUUGAUGUAAUGUAGUAUUUUGUCGAGAUGUACGAACUUUUCGUUUGGGUUUUUGUUUUGUACUUUUUUCAAUUAUGUUCUGCAUAAUUAUCGAAUUAUUCGAAAGAGAUUGUAAAAGAAAAAUUAAAUAAAUCUGAUGUUGAAAAGAGGUUGGGCGUAGAGGCCAAA
Rosa rugosa (rugosa rose) is the source of this 651-nucleotide long non-coding RNA. RefSeq lists it as uncharacterized. NCBI's taxonomy places the organism in Eukaryota, Viridiplantae, Streptophyta, Magnoliopsida, Rosales, Rosaceae. The record is from RefSeq and is a predicted model, not a curated record. The transcript is spliced from 2 exons.